This 447-nucleotide ribosomal RNA is filed under the name uncultured bacterium. Its description in RNAcentral is "bacterial SSU rRNA". It matches the Rfam family "Bacterial small subunit ribosomal RNA", at positions 32 to 460 of the family's 1533-position model. The record is from RNAcentral.
AAUCAACGCUGGCGGCGUGCCUAACACAUGCAAGUCGAACGCGAAAGCCCCUUCGGGGGCAAGUAGAGUGGCGUCCGGGUGAGUAACACGUGGGUAAUCUACCUCCGGGUGGGGAAUAACUCGCCGAAAGGCGGGCUAAUACCGCAUAAUGCAGCGGCACCGAAUGGUGAUUAGUUGUUAAAGCGGGGGACCUUAGGGCCUCGCGUCUGGAGAGGAGCCUGCGGCAGAUUAGCUUGUUGGUAGGGAAUGGCCUACCAAGGCUGCGAUCUGUAGCUGGUCUGAGAGGACGGCCAGCCACACUGGCACUGACACACGGCCCAGACUCCUACGGGAGGCAGCAGUGGGGAAUAUUGGACAAUGGGGGCAACCCUGAUCCAGCGACGCCGCGUGUGUGAAGAAGGCCUGCGGGUUGUAAAGCACUUUUAGUGGGGAUGAAAAGCUCGGGGC